UGCUGGUGAUUCUGGUAUGGAGCCCAGAUG
RNAcentral lists this non-coding RNA (30 nucleotides) under Homo sapiens (human). Lineage: Eukaryota; Metazoa; Chordata; Mammalia; Primates; Hominidae. The record is from RNAcentral.